UUCCCCCAAUUUCUAAUCCUUCCUCGAUACUCAUCACUCGUCCUCUCUCUUCUCCCUCUCGUCUUCCCUCUCCAACCGUGACAAUACCCGCCCCAUCAGAGGAUCCUUAUCCCCAAGGAUCAAACGACAGAAAUUGCCCUCGCAACACCGAAUAAUCUUCCAGGUGUCAUGCAUCUCGUCCAGGAGGAUCUGUGAAAGUUGUUGCUUCAGGCCCAACAUGCUUCUUCAUAAACUGACAUGAAAGAUAGGGUGCAAUCUCGAGGAAUCUGGGCGAGAGAAGUCUGUCGAUAUGGCUGCAGUUUCAGGUAAACGAAAUC
Molecule: long non-coding RNA, 317 nt
Organism: Hibiscus syriacus
Lineage: Eukaryota; Viridiplantae; Streptophyta; Magnoliopsida; Malvales; Malvaceae
Exons: 3
Source: RefSeq, a predicted model, not a curated record